AAAAAGAUGCUACCGAAGACGUGAGUACCACAUCAGAAGAACAACAUUCCCCAGCUGAGUCUUCAAGCCCGUUAUCUGUAGCUUCAGAUUCCGAGGCGCAGAGAUCAGAUUCCAUACCAGUUGAGGAUUCUUCAUCCCUCGAGGAACCUCAAGUUCUGGAAACGGACAAUGAAAGAAACGGUGAAACUCAAGCGCCUAUGGUUGAUGAUGAUGGUUUGGGUAAUGGUCAAAACAUGGAAAGGCGAAGUGGGCGAAGGCAAAUGGAGAAGAGAUCACAGCAUGGAAUGCCUAAUGGGUUCCACGGUAAUCAUGCGCCAAAACUUGGAGGCAUCCGAAAGAAUGGAACUAACAGAGACGUAAGAGGCAAUAUUACUAAAGUUUGGAGCCGAAAAACCAAUAACCCCAACUCGAUAUCACCAGAAGCAGCAGUGGAUGAACAGGAUCGAACAAAGAACAGUGAAGUUCUGAUUGGAUCGUUGAGUGUAACAAUCCGAAACACCGGAGAACAUAACCAAGCAAAAUGCCGUGAAGAGGAGCCAAGAAUGAAGACUGUUGAGGCGAAACCCACAUCUGACCAAUCAACUGUAAAAGUAUGGAGGCCAGUGAGCAGUCAGGGAAGGAUCGAUGAAAACACAGACAAAAAGGAUAAGAUCCCAAGCUCAACUGUACCUGAAGUUAAAACCGCUCAUCACAUAAGCUUGAACGAAGCUAAGGCGUUUCUUGCAAAGAGUAAAACUUCUUUUAACUGGUCUUUUUUUUUCUCCCUAUCGUUUAAUUCCAAUAUUUGUUUACUCAAAAAUCUGAAUUGGCUUGUCAGGAUGGAAAGAGGCAACCUCUGAAGAACACGUGACGUUGGUUCUGUCUCAGGAAACAGACAUUUCAGGUAACAACAACACUCACGAAUCUUCGAAUGGUGUUAUAACCGCCGCACGACCAAAGCUCAGGAAGAAACGCGAAAAAGGUAGCAAGGUAAAGUAUGUUCCAAAACAGAGGACUCCUUGAGAAAUCUAAACAAAAAAAGAACGAGCUCGUCUCUGGACCGGAGUAUCAUUUUUUAGGUAUACCAAAAGUGCAGUAUUAGUGAGAGAGACGUAUGGUAUUUUUUUUCUUUGCUUCUAGAGAGAUUUUUCUUGAUUUUAAGAGUCAAUAUUCUUUUUUUGUUUACUUCAUUUUCUCGAUAGAAAGACAUUGAGUUGUUAUUUUGUUGACCUUUCUCCAUGGUGAGGGUUUAAACUUGAAAUUUUGAAAUGAAAUUGAUAUUUAGCCAAAUAUGAAGUCUACCAUACUGUAAUAUCAUAUCAGUACAACAUAGAUUCCUACAAUAUAUGUAUAGUUGUUAGACCCCAAUCUCUUACUAAAUCACCGAACUGCUUCCAAUGUUAGAGGGUUUAGUUCUUUCUGGUAAUAAAGAAGAUAGAAACCCUUUUUAUCUUUCGUUCUUUCUCAGUUAGUCAACUGAAUCCUCCAGACCGUAACACCGGAAAGAAACUCCAACUGUUUCCUGGACUGUUGUUAUCACCUUCUCGCAUGACCUUCUCAUUCGACCACCACUCCGUUCUCACCAUUUCUUCAGUGUUAUCAAACUUGAACUCUUUGCUCGACCCUAGCGAAAACGUUCUUAACUUGUGACUCUCUGUUUCUCCCCACGUUUUGUCACUCCAUCUCAUAGUAGGCGAAACCGCCUCAUACGUAUCCCUUUGAUCAUCGAAACCAGCUCGGUUUAGCUUACUUGCAAAACAACGUGCUAAGUCUUCGCCAGUCACCUCAAACGAAACUCUAUGACCAACCGUGAGAGCUUCAUCGUUCCAUGACGACCCGUGAUCUGAAUAUCCAAAAACAGUGCCUUCAAGUGACGUCAGAUUCCCAGAACCCAUUCUUGAAACCAUCUCUGCACCGUUUGAGCCGAGUCCGAAUCCUCCGCCACCAUCAGGAGUCAGGGCACCUGAACCCAACCUCGAACCUGGACCAGCAGGUGUGAUGGAUCCAGAACCGAAUCUCGACCCCCAUUUACGAGCUGUGAAGUGCUCAAACCCCAAGAACUUUGGAGCUUCUCCGACACGAAACUCAAUGAUGGAGCAUUUACCUGGGUAAGGAGAAGAAGUACCUGAACCAGGAGAGAUUAGACUACCACCUGGACUUCCUGGAUACACUUGAUGCGACUGAAACUCGUAGUGCGCAGCUGAAAACUGUUGAUCCAUUCCCCCGCUGUUUCUCCGAGCUCGUUCCAGAGAAGAUGUAAGUAACUGAGCAAAUGGCACUUCAGGGGAAGAAGGAGUUGCAGAACUCAUUUGACCUGACUCUGGAGGUGGCGUGAACGGCGCAGUGGAUGGUCGAGUAGUGUAAGCAGAGUCCACAGGAGGAGUCACGGGUUGAGUUUCGUGAGCGUAAGGUCCAAUCUCAAAGGCUGAAGACGGUUCGUUCAGUGAAUAUGUGUUGACCGGCAAGGAGAGUAGACCAUGAGGAGUGUGGGACAUAGAUGGUGGACCUGACUGAAGAAACGAUGCAGGAGAUGAAGGAGGAGCCAUAAAGGGAAGAAACAUAGAAGUUGAGUUGCUCGAAGAGUUUUGGACUGGAGCCACCGGAGCUGAUCCGGAGGCAACCGGUUCGGGUACAAGCACCGCGUGGCCGAUCCGCUUGUUGUUCUUUUGUGAUUUAAAACACCAGUACAAGCUCCAACAGCUUCCCCAUUUUUUCUUCUGAUGAAUUUCAAGAAAAAAAAAUACAAGAUUUUUGAUCAGCUUCGGACAGAACCAAAGUCUAUAUAACACUUCAAACAGACAUAAAAUGUAAUUGAGAUCUCCUGUCGGAAAACGUUGGCAAAUCAAGACGCAACAAUUCUUAUUAAUAUUUUUUUUAAACAGUAUUCUUAUUUAUGAUGACAAGAAGAAGAGGAGGAAACAUAUGUACACUCCGGAAAAAAGGAGAGCUCGUAGUUACCUGCACCCUCGACGAUUGUAGUCUUGACUCGGAGGAGGAGAAGAUGGCAGAAGCAGCGGCGCUCACCGUAUCAACGUUAUUGUUCAAGUUUCUCAUAUCUUAGACUUGUUUAACAUCCAAGAUUUGUACGACUCUACCACCACUUUCGAUCUCAGUAUUAAACGAGGAGAUAGAGAUUUUUUCCCUGGUUGGAAUCAAAAGGAACAAAUGAUCCUAAGUAAAAGAAAUGUGAAACCGAAGAAGGAUUAGUAUAAAUAAGCAAACAAGGCUUUGAUUCUUAUGAAAUGGGAUGAGUCUUCUCUCUCUCACCGGUCGUUAUCUUCCACAGUUUUCAUUCAAUUUCCCACGAGAUAUUGCCAUGUCAUCCAAAUUGACUGUCGGGACCCACGCGCUUCCUUUUUUACUUUCUUCGAGAUAUAUUCUCAAAUUAUUGUGUAUUAAACUGUGAAUUUAAAAGAAAAAUGAAUAAAAAAACACUAAAAAGGGAGAGUAACGCCCAUGUUUUAAAAAUCGGUCACCUAGCCGCCUAGACGGCCAUCUAGAUACUACACAUCACUCUUUUACUCCAAUCUGUUUAAAAAAUUAGAUAUCUGAUUUUCUCUGCCUAUACCGCCUAGACGACCGUCUAAUCUAUUUUUUUUUGUAUUUUUAUUUUAUUUUUAAUAAUAUUUUUUAUUAAUAUAUUUGAUCUAAAAUUUUAUAAAUAUCAUUUAUAUUCAUAAUUUUGAUGAAAAUUACACUAUAUUAAGUUUAUAUAUUCUAUUUGUGUGUUUUAUACAAUCUUAAACAUGAAAAUGUAUUAAUGUUAUACACAAUUAAAGAUUAACAUGUUUUAUAACAUAGUAAACACUCUGCCACAAUAUUAUCUAAGAGCUGGUUCUGACCUUUUGGUAUGAAUUUCUUUUUUACCUUUCUGGAUAAAGAGUGUCCUCAAUGCUCAACUCAUGGCUGAUUUAGUGAUACAUGCUCUGGUUUCUCCAGGAUAUUAUCCAGGCUAGAACACCUAGGUUUUCAAUUUCUUCGCAGAAGCUUUUUAGCAUCCUCGAUGAAGCAAGUGAAAAAACUUUCAUGUGUAACGAGGCUGCACCAAUGCAAAAAUACAUAUUUGACGGGGAAAUUGGGAAAAAUAUGCUGGAGGCAAAAAAUGUCGUUGCUUGCGCAAGCUUUCUCCUGGAACAGAAAUUGGUAAAUUUUUCCUUUAAGGUUUCAACAUUGCUCUCUAGUUGGCAGUGCAAAGUGUCUAAGACGAGGACUUAGCCUACUGUGAUUUAUCUUUGUAUUCUUAACGUAAAGAUCAAAGCAUGGCUUGCUGACAAAGAUGCGGAAGCCCUGAGGUGCCAAAAUUUACUGGUUGAAGAGGAAGAAGCUGCUCAAAGAAGGUGCGUUCUUAUCAAUUGAAAUGCUUGUCAUGUAACGUUACUAGAUUCACAAUUCUCUAAUUCUGAAUUGGCUUCUAAGUGUUAAGUCUUAUUCGCUGGUAUUAUGUCUGGAGCAGACAAGCCGAGCUCUUGGAGAGAAAGAAGAGGAAGAAGCUAAGACAGAAAGAACAAAGAGUAAAGGACCAAAAAAAAGAUGCUACCGAAGACGUGAGUACCACAUCAGAAGAACAACAUUCCCCAGCUGAGUCUUCAAGCCCGUUAUCUGUAGCUUCAGAUUCCGAGGCGCAGAGAUCAGAUUCCAUACCAGUUGAGGAUUCUUCAUCCCUCGAGGAACCUCAAGUUCUGGAAACGGACAAUGAAAGAAACGGUGAAACUCAAGCGCCUAUGGUUGAUGAUGAUGGUUUGGGUAAUGGUCAAAACAUGGAAAGGCGAAGUGGGCGAAGGCAAAUGGAGAAGAGAUCACAGCA
This 4783-nucleotide long non-coding RNA is filed under the name Brassica napus (rape). RNAcentral describes it as "long non-coding RNA (BNAP_LNC003011)". The record is from RNAcentral. Lineage: Eukaryota; Viridiplantae; Streptophyta; Magnoliopsida; Brassicales; Brassicaceae.